AGCGAACGCUGGCGGCAGGCCUAACACAUGCAAGUCGAACGAACUCUUCGGAGUUAGUGGCGGACGGGUGAGUAACACGUGGGAACGUGCCUUUAGGUUCGGAAUAACUCAGGGAAACUUGUGCUAAUACCGAAUGUGCCCUUCGGGGGAAAGAUUUAUCGCCUUUAGAGCGGCCCGCGUCUGAUUAGCUAGUUGGUGAGGUAAAGGCUCACCAAGGCGACGAUCAGUAGCUGGUCUGAGAGGAUGAUCAGCCACAUUGGGACUGAGACACGGCCCAAACUCCUACGGGAGGCAGCAGUGGGGAAUCUUGCGCAAUGGGCGAAAGCCUGACGCAGCCAUGCCGCGUGAAUGAUGAAGGUCUUAGGAUUGUAAAAUUCUUUCAUCGGGGACGAUAAUGACGGUACCCGGAGAAGAAGCCCCGGCUAACUUCGUG
RNAcentral lists this ribosomal RNA (433 nucleotides) under uncultured bacterium. RNAcentral describes it as "partial 16S ribosomal RNA". It matches the Rfam family "Bacterial small subunit ribosomal RNA", at positions 29 to 507 of the family's 1533-position model. The record is from RNAcentral.